Molecule: ribosomal RNA, 385 nt
Filed under: uncultured bacterium
Lineage: Bacteria
Description: bacterial SSU rRNA
Rfam family: Bacterial small subunit ribosomal RNA
Source: RNAcentral
GAUAAACGCUGGCGGCGUGCCUUAUGCAUGCAAGUCGAACGUGAAGCCCGCUUCGGCGGGUGGAAAGUGGCGAACGGGUGAGUAACACGUAGGAACCUGCCCGGAAGUGGGGGAUAACUCCGCGAAAGCGGGGCUAAUACCGCAUGUGGUCGAAAGACUAAAGCUUCGGUGCUUCCGGAGGGGCCUGCGGCGGAUUAGCUAGUUGGUGGGGUAAUGGCCUACCAAGGCGACGAUCCGUAGCUGGUCNGAGAGGAUGGUCAGCCACACUGGAACUGAGACACGGUCCAGACUCCUACGGGAGGCAGCAGUAGGGAAUCUUGCUCAAUGGGCGAAAGCCUGAAGCAGCGACGCCGCGUGCGGGAUGAAGGCCUUCGGUUGUAACCGU